This 76-nucleotide transfer RNA is filed under the name Azospirillum sp. 51_20. RNAcentral describes it as "tRNA-Ala". It matches the Rfam family "tRNA". Rfam says of the family: Transfer RNA (tRNA) molecules are approximately 80 nucleotides in length. Lineage: Bacteria; Pseudomonadati; Pseudomonadota; Alphaproteobacteria; Rhodospirillales; Azospirillaceae. The record is from RNAcentral. RNAcentral also lists the same sequence under 1 other name.
GGGGUUAUAGCUCAGCUGGGAGAGCGCUUGAAUGGCAUUCAAGAGGUCAGCGGUUCGAUCCCGCUUAGCUCCACCA